This is a long non-coding RNA of Penaeus indicus, 662 nucleotides long. RefSeq lists it as uncharacterized. The transcript is spliced from 5 exons. The record is from RefSeq and is a predicted model, not a curated record. NCBI's taxonomy places the organism in Eukaryota, Metazoa, Arthropoda, Malacostraca, Decapoda, Penaeidae.
ACCUGUGUGGAAGAUGCGAAUACGCUUACAAGAAGGCUAUUGAAGAUAACACUUUCGAGAUUAGGGAAGUUGGACCGUCUGUAGGAAACUGCACCAGUGAUUCUGCUCUCUUGGUUCCAGAACCUCACUGCUGUGACGACUCCAGACUGUGCAAGAGCCACGGGAGUAAUUGCCGUCACAGUUUUCUCUACGAAAACGGCCAUAUUCGCUGCGACUAUUUCCUCCCUAGUUACUGCCCCGACCAGCGCUGCUGCGGCUGCUGCCUGAACUGUAACGUCAAAGUAUGUUCACCCUGUUUUCACGAGAUAGGUGCUACGUGCAGGAAGCAAUGCCAGUGGGACGAGUACCCGGUCUCAGUCAAGUGUCACAGUCCUUAUUGUCAGUGUUGCAGAAAGUGCGAAAUAGAAUGGUCUUGCAAAGCAGCCGGGGGAUACUGCGUGGGACAUCCUUAUUUCUGUCAAAGAAGAGGUUUUUAUGCAACGAAAGGUGGCUGCACUGGGGAUUGCUGCUACUGUUGCCGUCCGAUUCCAGAAUAAGGAGGCAUAGGCAAGACACCGUAAAUGGAUCACCGGAUUGAAUGAAUAGUUAUUUGCAUUAACACUCACAGACACAGACACACACAGGCACCCAAACAUACACACACAUACUCACACACACACACA